This 234-nucleotide long non-coding RNA is filed under the name Calidris pugnax (ruff). Its description in RNAcentral is "lncRNA (ENSCPUG00000007799.1)". The record is from RNAcentral. Lineage: Eukaryota; Metazoa; Chordata; Aves; Charadriiformes; Scolopacidae.
ACUUCAUGCUGUUAUUUUAGUCUCAUGACAUGCUACUUAGCCAUGUGAAAAAAAACUUUAGUGCUCUGUAAGUACCUUGCUCUUGUGCACUCCUCCUUCACAAGUAACAUUCUCCUGCACGCUCAGCUUCAGAAGGUAAGAUUUUUUCAGGAGUUAAAUUUCAGCUUGGUAUGUUCACCUGGAAACUAGCUCUCCCUGAGGAACUAAAAGUUAAAAACAUUUAAGAUGCAUUUU